AUGGCGCCAUCACCUCGGCCGUACACCUCUCUGCUGUUGCCAUCUCUCCUCCUGCUCCUCCUCGUCUCCUCCAGCGCAGCGAGAGUCGCAAGAAACCAGGCUGCCCAGGACGACCACGGAGAGGUGGACGCCGACGGCGAGGUGGCGGCGAGCUUCUUCAGAGCGGAGGCGGGGGAUGAAGGUUGCGGCGGUGGCGCCAAAGGGGGAGAUGGAGACGAUGAUGAGUGCUUGAUGAGGAGGACGCUGGUGGCGCACACCGACUACAUCUACACCCAGGGAGGAAACCACAACUAG
RNAcentral lists this ribosomal RNA (294 nucleotides) under Triticum aestivum (bread wheat). RNAcentral describes it as "partial small subunit ribosomal RNA". Lineage: Eukaryota; Viridiplantae; Streptophyta; Magnoliopsida; Poales; Poaceae. The record is from RNAcentral.